UUUUAGAAUUUAAUUUAAAGUCUAACCUGCCCACUGAAUAAUUUUAAAUGGCCGCAGUAUCUUAACUGUGCAAAGGUAGCAUAAUCAUUAGUCUUUUAAUUAAAGGCUGGAAUGAAUGGUUGGAUGAAAUAUUAACUGUUUCAUAAAAAUUUUUAGUAGAAUUUUAUUUUUUAGUCAAAAAGCUAAAAUUUAAUUAAAAGACGAGAAGACCCUAUAAAUCUUUAUAUUUAUAUAAUUUUAAUUAUUUAGAUAAAUUAAAUUAAAUUUAUUUUAAAUAUUUUAUUGGGGUGAUAUUAAAAUUUAAUAAACUUUUAAUAAAAUUUAAACAAAAAUUAAUGAAUUAUUGAUCCAUAAAUUAUGAUUAAAAAAUUAAGUUACUUUAGGGAUAACAGCGUAAUUUUUUUAGAGAGUUCAUAUUGAUAAAAA
Molecule: ribosomal RNA, 426 nt
Filed under: Megaselia cothurnata
Lineage: Eukaryota; Metazoa; Arthropoda; Insecta; Diptera; Phoridae
Description: partial 16S ribosomal RNA
Source: RNAcentral